Manis pentadactyla (Chinese pangolin) is the source of this 1379-nucleotide long non-coding RNA. RefSeq lists it as uncharacterized. The transcript is spliced from 3 exons. Lineage: Eukaryota; Metazoa; Chordata; Mammalia; Pholidota; Manidae. The record is from RefSeq and is a predicted model, not a curated record.
AGGAAACCCGAAGAACUGAGUAAAUCAGACUUUUGCUCUCAGCAAAUUGUGCAGGCAACAAACAGUAAGGAGGGAGGGCCAGAGCACAGAAACGGGUUGGGCAGAUCCGAAGCAGCACAGGCGGGGCAGGGGGCCCAGGCUGGCGGGUGACGCGCUUGGGUGCGCGGCUCUGGAAGGGCCUCGAGCUGAGGCGCGCUGGGGCAGUGAGCAGUCACCCAGAGCCGCCGGCACUGCGGGCAAGGGGUGCUAACAGGCUGUGAUCACUAAGGCAACCCCAAUUUCUACAAACAGAGCCUUUGGAGCUCUCCUCCAUGCCCAGCACUAGGCUUCAGGCACAGAAGAAAGAACCCACUCAUCAUGAACAAAUGCUGCUGUCUCCACAAGGCCAAGCAUUUUCCCUCUCUUCUCUACCCUCAAGAUGACUUUAAGAGUUCCAGGCAUCACAUAAAAUCCUGAGGAAUAAGACAGAACAUCUCUCUAUGGCUUUUUCUUUCUAACAAAAAAACUUUCCCCAUACUCCUUUGGCAGACUUCUUGGCUCUCAUUGGUUGGAAUUGGGUCAUGUGCAUAUUCCUCGACUAAUCAUGGGUAAGGGGAUAAGACUGUCUUUAGAUCUGGCCCGUCCCUUGGAGCUGGGAGUGUGGUCCACUUCCCUGAUGCACACAGCUGUGUGGGAGAGAAGACAAUAGCAGACAGUGAAAUCAUGGUUUUGUUAAAAGAGAAGCUGGAAGCAACACAAGAGUGUCCCCAGUGGGAUCACACGGCAUGGAGCUCUACCUCUCACGCUGCAGCUCAAACCUGCUAACCUGAGUUGGACAACGAUCUCUGCAAGAGAUCUGAUGCCCAGGCUGCCCUCACUACUCCCCCUUUCAGCGUGGACUCCUCUGUGAAACCUUUCUCCUCCUCCUUGUUACCCACCUUCCCUUUGAGUUCUGGAAUUAGCUCCUCGGCACAGCUUGUGUUCCCCUUGAGGUUUUUGCUGCUCUCUCAUGGAAGACACUAUUUAUGUUCUUGCUUACUAUCAUUUGCAUAAGAAUCUGUGAUGAAUUUCUCCUUGAAUUACUAGUUUUUAGCAAUGGACAAAUACCCUCUCACUGAACAAGGACAGUUACACAAUCCAUAAUCAUUCUCUCUUGCAGCAGUGAAGCUCAGAGCUAUGUAUAGUGCUCAGCAGCCAUCUGACCUCAUCCUAGGCUCUUGGUACCACUUCGUUUCUCUCUCUAACAAUGUGUCUAAGAUCUGGCUGGUGCUGUUGUUUCUUUAUGUAGUAAGUUGAUUCUGGGGAAGACCGGACCCCUGGUUUUUGAGCCCUUGAGAAGAGAUCCGCUGAAACUGGGCUUAGUCUGGUGUAUUUCCUCCUGGGCCAGCAGCUGUUAUCUC